UACGGAGGAUGCGAGCGUUAUCCGGAUUUAUUGGGUUUAAAGGGUGCGUAGGCGGUCCGUUAAGUAAGCGGUAAAAUUGCGGGGCUCAACCCCGUCGAGCCGUUGAAACUGGCUGUCUUGAGAUGUCGAGAGGUAUGCGGAAUGCGCAGUGUAGCGGUGAAAUGCUUAGAUAUUGCGCAGAACCCCGAUUGCGAAGGCAGCGUACCGGCGCCCAACUGACGCUGAAGCACGAAAGCGUGGGUAUCGAACAGG
RNAcentral lists this ribosomal RNA (252 nucleotides) under uncultured Bacteroidales bacterium. Its description in RNAcentral is "partial 16S ribosomal RNA". It matches the Rfam family "Bacterial small subunit ribosomal RNA", at positions 524 to 776 of the family's 1533-position model. The record is from RNAcentral. Lineage: Bacteria; Pseudomonadati; Bacteroidota; Bacteroidia; Bacteroidales.